Molecule: ribosomal RNA, 274 nt
Filed under: uncultured bacterium
Lineage: Bacteria
Description: partial 16S ribosomal RNA
Rfam family: Bacterial small subunit ribosomal RNA
Source: RNAcentral
AUACGGAGGGGGUUAGCGUUGUUCGGAAUUACUGGGCGUAAAGCGCACGUAGGCGGACUGGAAAGUUGGGGGUGAAAUCCCGGGGCUCAACCCCGGAACUGCCUCCAAAACUUCCAAUCUAGAGAUCGAGAGAGGUGAGUGGAAUUCCAAGUGUAGAGGUGAAAUUCGUAGAUAUUUGGAGGAACACCAGUGGCGAAGGCGGCUCACUGGCUCGAUACUGACGCUGAGGUGCGAAAGCGUGGGGAGCAAACAGUAUUAGAAACCCCAGUAGUCC